AACGAACGCUGGCGGCAGGCUUAACACAUGCAAGUCGAGCGCCCCGCAAGGGGAGCGGCAGACGGGUGAGUAACGCGUGGGAACGUACCCUUAUCUUCGGGCUAGCUCCGGGAAACUGGAAUUAAUACCGAAUGUGCCCUUUGGGGGAAAGAUUUAUCGGAUAAGGAUCGGCCCGCGUUGGAUUAGCUAGUUGGUGGGGUAAAGGCCUACCAAGGCGACGAUCCAUAGCUGGUCUGAGAGGAGGAUCAGCCACAUUGGGACUGAGACACGGCCCAAACUCCUACGGGAGGCAGCAGAGGGGAAUAUUGGAGCAUGAGCGCAAGCCUGAUCCAGCCAUGCCGCGUGAGUGAUGAAGGCCUUAGGAUUGUAAAGCUCUUUCACCGGAGAAGAUAAUGACGGUAUCCGGAGAAGAAGCCCCGGCUAACUUCGUG
This 431-nucleotide ribosomal RNA is filed under the name uncultured bacterium. Its description in RNAcentral is "partial 16S ribosomal RNA". It matches the Rfam family "Bacterial small subunit ribosomal RNA", at positions 29 to 507 of the family's 1533-position model. The record is from RNAcentral.